This 44-nucleotide non-coding RNA is filed under the name Schistosoma margrebowiei. Lineage: Eukaryota; Metazoa; Platyhelminthes; Trematoda; Strigeidida; Schistosomatidae. The record is from RNAcentral.
AUCCAGCUGACGAGUCCCAAAUAGGACGAAACUGGUUCAUGGGU